CCUACGGGAGGCAGCAGUAGGGAAUAUUGCUCAAUGGGGGAAACCCUGAAGCAGCAACGCCGCGUGGAGGAUGAAGGUUUUCGGAUUGUAAACUCCUUUUGUUAGAGAAGAUAAUGACGGUAUCUAACGAAUAAGCACCGGCUAACUCCGUGCCAGCAGCCGCGGUAAUACGGAGGGUGCAAGCGUUAAGAGGAAGCAAUGGUCGUAAAGAGCGCGUAGGCGGGAUGGCAAGUCUGAUGUGAAAUCCUAUGGCUUAACCAUAGGACUGCAGUUGAAACUGGUAUUCUAGAGUAUUGGAGAGGUAGGUGGAAUUCUUGGUGUAGGGGUAAAAUCCGUAGAGAUUAAGAGGAAUACUCAUUGCGAAGGCGACCUGCUAGAACAUAACUGACGCUGAGGCGCGAAAGCGUGGGGAGCAAACAGGAUUAGAUACCCUUGUAGUC
RNAcentral lists this ribosomal RNA (440 nucleotides) under uncultured bacterium. Its description in RNAcentral is "partial 16S ribosomal RNA". It matches the Rfam family "Bacterial small subunit ribosomal RNA", at positions 338 to 795 of the family's 1533-position model. The record is from RNAcentral.